This 931-nucleotide ribosomal RNA is filed under the name Agaricus armandomyces. RNAcentral describes it as "partial 28S ribosomal RNA". It matches the Rfam family "Eukaryotic large subunit ribosomal RNA", at positions 32 to 950 of the family's 3401-position model. Lineage: Eukaryota; Fungi; Basidiomycota; Agaricomycetes; Agaricales; Agaricaceae. The record is from RNAcentral.
AAUUAAGCAUAUCAAUAAGCGGAGGAAAAGAAACUAACAAGGAUUCCCCUAGUAACUGCGAGUGAAGCGGGAAAAGCUCAAAUUUAAAAUCUGGCAGUCUCUGGCUGUCCGAGUUGUAAUCUAGAGAAGUAAUGCCCGUGCUGGACCGUGUAUAAGUCUCCUGGGAUGGGGCGUCAUAGAGGGUGAGAAUCCCGUCUUUGACACGGACUACCAGUGCAUUGUGGUAUGCUCUCAAAGAGUCGAGUUGUUUGGGAAUGCAGCUCAAAAUGGGUGGUAAAUUCCAUCUAAAGCUAAAUAUUGGCGAGAGACCGAUAGCGAACAAGUACCGUGAGGGAAAGAUGAAAAGAACUUUGGAAAGAGAGUUAAACAGUACGUGAAAUUGCUGAAAGGGAAACGCUUGAAGUCAGUCGCGUUGGCCGGGAAUCAGCCUUGCUUCUGCAUGGUGUACUUUCUGGUUGACGGGUCAGCAUCAAUUUUGACCGCUGGAAAAAGGCCUGGGGAAUGUGGCAGCUUCGGCUGUGUUAUAGCCCCUAGUCGUAUACAGUGGUUGGGAUUGAGGAACUCAGCACGCCGCAAGGCCGGGUUUCGACCACGUUCGUGCUUAGGAUGCUGGCAUAAUGGCUUUAAGCGACCCGUCUUGAAACACGGACCAAGGAGUCUAACAUGCCUGCGAGUAUUUGGGUGGAAAACCCAAGUGCGUAAUGAAAGUGAAAGUUGAGAUCCCUGUCGUGGGGAGCAUCGACGCCCGGACCAGAACUUUUGGGACGGAUCCGCGGUGGAGCAUGUAUGUUGGGACCCGAAAGAUGGUGAACUAUGCCUGAAUAGGGUGAAGCCAGAGGAAACUCUGGUGGAGGCUCGUAGCGAUUCUGACGUGCAAAUCGAUCGUCAAAUUUGGGUAUAGGGGCGAAAGACUAAUCGAACCAUCUAGUAU